ACCGCACACAUUUAUAUAUGUAAAUUAUUUUAACAGCAUAUAUGAUAGUAUAUACUAUAAUUAUAAAGGCACGUAAAUACACAGUUAUGAGUAUAGGUUCUUUUUUUGUAACUGUGCAUAGGUUCUUCAUAUAUUUAUUUUGUAAACAUGUUAACCUUAGUAUAUAAACUGAAAUAAAAAAUACUCAAUUAUAACAUCAUAUUAUCUGAAAUGAAGUAUAAAAUUAUUAGAAAAUAUAUUUUACUGCAUGAUAUAUGAUUUGUUUUAUAAAGAAUUAAUAUUUCUCUUUUUUGUAUUUUUAUUUCAAAAGUAUUUUAGUAAUCAAAUUUAAUUAUUGAAUAAUCAUUCAAUACCGUAAAUAUGCAUUGUCACCAAUCAAACAC
RNAcentral lists this long non-coding RNA (383 nucleotides) under Brassica napus (rape). RNAcentral describes it as "long non-coding RNA (BNAP_LNC004498)". Lineage: Eukaryota; Viridiplantae; Streptophyta; Magnoliopsida; Brassicales; Brassicaceae. The record is from RNAcentral.